RNAcentral lists this ribosomal RNA (1299 nucleotides) under Triticum aestivum (bread wheat). RNAcentral's name for it is "partial small subunit ribosomal RNA". Lineage: Eukaryota; Viridiplantae; Streptophyta; Magnoliopsida; Poales; Poaceae. The record is from RNAcentral.
AUGACGGGGGCGGCGGACAAGGCCGAGCUAGGGUUCGAGGAGGAUGAUGAUAUGGCGGCCGGCACGCCGCCGCCGGCCAGGAAGAUGCAGUCGCUCGACUUCGAGCACAUCGGCUCGCUCGCGGCGGUGGCGGAGUCGCUCUCGCCCCGGAGCAAGUGGCGGAUGGCGCUCAGGAGCAUACGCAUCGUCAUCUUCCAGGCCAAGAUCAAUGUGCUCCUGCCCUUCGGGCCCCUCGCCAUCACGCUUCACUACCUCUCCGGGAACCACCAAGGAUGGGUUUUCCUUUUCAGCUUAGUUGGUAUCACGCCCUUGGCCGAGAGAUUGGGAUAUGCAACUGAGCAACUUGCUUGCUACACUGGCCCAACAAUUGGGGGGCUUCUAAAUGCUACUUUUGGAAAUGCGACAGAGAUGAUUAUCUCGAUAUAUGCACUGAAAAACGGAAUGAUUCGUGUCGUACAGCAGUCACUACUAGGCUCUAUAUUAUCAAACAUGCUGUUAGUUCUUGGGUGUGCUUUCUUUGCUGGUGGGCUUGCUCAUCCUAAUAGAGAUCAGGUCUUCAAUAAGGCAUCAGCUGUUGUGAACUCUGGGUUGUUGUUGAUGGCUGUCUUGGGUCUAAUGUUUCCAGCGGUGCUUCACUUUACACAUUCUGAAGCGCACUAUGGAAAAUCCGAAGUUUCUCUUUCAAGGUUUAGUAGCUGCAUAAUGCUUGUGGCUUAUGCUAGCUAUCUAUUUUUUCAACUCAAGAGCCAGCGCAGUCUGUACAGCCCAAUUGGCGAAGAAGAAGAAAGCACUGAGGAUGAGGAGGAUGAAAAGGAGAUAGCACAGGGGGAAGCUAUCUCCUGGCUUUUUGUGUUGACUAUUUGGAUUUCAAUUCUCUCUGGGUACCUGGUAGAUGCCAUACAGGGGGCCUCUGAAUCAUUAAACAUGCCACUGGCCUUUAUUAGUGUUAUUCUGCUUCCUAUCGUGGGGAAUGCUGCUGAGCAUGCAAGCGCCAUUAUGUUUGCCAUGAAAAACAAACUUGACAUUACAUUGGGUGUCGCCAUAGGGUCGUCAACACAGAUAUCUAUGUUUGUGAUUCCAUUCUGUGUGGUAAUUGGCUGGAUGAUGGGGGAAGAGAUGGACUUGAACUUUCAAUUGUUUGAGACAGCAACUCUUUUUAUAACAGUACUUGUGGUGGCAUUUAUGCUACAGGAAGGCACGUCGAACUAUUUUAAAGGCCUUAUGCUCAUAUUAUGCUAUCUCAUAGUUGCCGCAAGCUUUUUUGUGCACGUUGAUCCCAAAUCAAGUGACAACAAAUGA